AAGUACAUUUUUACAAAUAAAUAAAGGUGCAUUUUUACAUUACACGUAGCUUUCAAAUAUUAUAUAGUUUUCACCCCAUACAUAUGAUACAUUAAUUAAAAUAGAAAAAAAAGAAAGAAAAAAAUAGGUAAUGGAGUUGGCUUGUGUGGAGGCACGAGUUCUCAACAUUGCCCUCAUCUCCAUCAUCCUCAUGACUCAACAACAUCG
Molecule: long non-coding RNA, 207 nt
Filed under: Lathyrus oleraceus (garden pea)
Lineage: Eukaryota; Viridiplantae; Streptophyta; Magnoliopsida; Fabales; Fabaceae
Description: Pisum sativum (pea) long non-coding RNA (PSAT_LNC022556)
Source: RNAcentral